This 1259-nucleotide ribosomal RNA is filed under the name Bifidobacterium breve. RNAcentral's name for it is "bacterial SSU rRNA". It matches the Rfam family "Bacterial small subunit ribosomal RNA", at positions 117 to 1384 of the family's 1533-position model. The record is from RNAcentral. Lineage: Bacteria; Bacillati; Actinomycetota; Actinomycetes; Bifidobacteriales; Bifidobacteriaceae.
GUGACCGACCUGCCCCAUGCACCGGAAUAGCUCCUGGAAACGGGUGGUAAUGCCGGAUGCUCCAUCACACUGCAUGGUGUGUUGGGAAAGCCUUUGCGGCAUGGGAUGGGGUCGCGUCCUAUCAGCUUGAUGGCGGGGUAACGGCCCACCAUGGCUUCGACGGGUAGCCGGCCUGAGAGGGCGACCGGCCACAUUGGGACUGAGAUACGGCCCAGACUCCUACGGGAGGCAGCAGUGGGGAAUAUUGCACAAUGGGCGCAAGCCUGAUGCAGCGACGCCGCGUGAGGGAUGGAGGCCUUCGGGUUGUAAACCUCUUUUGUUAGGGAGCAAGGCAUUUUGUGUUGAGUGUACCUUUCGAAUAAGCACCGGCUAACUACGUGCCAGCAGCCGCGGUAAUACGUAGGGUGCAAGCGUUAUCCGGAAUUAUUGGGCGUAAAGGGCUCGUAGGCGGUUCGUCGCGUCCGGUGUGAAAGUCCAUCGCUUAACGGUGGAUCCGCGCCGGGUACGGGCGGGCUUGAGUGCGGUAGGGGAGACUGGAAUUCCCGGUGUAACGGUGGAAUGUGUAGAUAUCGGGAAGAACACCAAUGGCGAAGGCAGGUCUCUGGGCCGUUACUGACGCUGAGGAGCGAAAGCGUGGGGAGCGAACAGGAUUAGAUACCCUGGUAGUCCACGCCGUAAACGGUGGAUGCUGGAUGUGGGGCCCGUUCCACGGGUUCCGUGUCGGAGCUAACGCGUUAAGCAUCCCGCCUGGGGAGUACGGCCGCAAGGCUAAAACUCAAAGAAAUUGACGGGGGCCCGCACAAGCGGCGGAGCAUGCGGAUUAAUUCGAUGCAACGCGAAGAACCUUACCUGGGCUUGACAUGUUCCCGACGAUCCCAGAGAUGGGGUUUCCCUUCGGGGCGGGUUCACAGGUGGUGCAUGGUCGUCGUCAGCUCGUGUCGUGAGAUGUUGGGUUAAGUCCCGCAACGAGCGCAACCCUCGCCCCGUGUUGCCAGCGGAUUGUGCCGGGAACUCACGGGGGACCGCCGGGGUUAACUCGGAGGAAGGUGGGGAUGACGUCAGAUCAUCAUGCCCCUUACGUCCAGGGCUUCACGCAUGCUACAAUGGCCGGUACAACGGGAUGCGACAGCGCGAGCUGGAGCGGAUCCCUGAAAACCGGUCUCAGUUCGGAUCGCAGUCUGCAACUCGACUGCGUGAAGGCGGAGUCGCUAGUAAUCGCGAAUCAGCAACGUCGCGGUGAAUGCGUUCCCGGGCCUUGU